CAGGACCAAGCCGUAGGGGGAGGAGGCCACCAUCUAUUGAUGCCACUCAGCUGGACAGCGAGUGGCAAUUCCCCUCCCUUAAUGAAGACACCCAGCCAGGCCUGUUUCUUCACAGCCAGCCAUUAACUCAUGAUUCACCGUCGUCAGAAACCCCA
Molecule: long non-coding RNA, 155 nt
Organism: Neoarius graeffei (lesser salmon catfish)
Lineage: Eukaryota; Metazoa; Chordata; Actinopteri; Siluriformes; Ariidae
Exons: 3
Source: RefSeq, a predicted model, not a curated record